AUGCAUGAUUUGAUGCAUGAUCUCGCUGCAUUAGUGAGUGGAGGAGCAAGUGCCGUACUAGAUUCAAAUGUGGCAUAUGCUGAUGAAGGAACUCGACAUAUAUCCAUUGUUUCCAAUUCAGACUCAAGAUGGGAAGUUUUACCUUCUUUGCUUAAAGUAAGGAAGGCAAGGUCAUUGCUUCUACCAAAUGGAUCAAAAUGGAGUGAAAUCCAAGAUGACCAAUGCCAUUUGAUUUUUUCUAAGCUGAGACGUUUACGAGCGUUAGAUCUACAUGAUUCAGGCGUUGAGAUGGUGCUGAGUUCUGUUGAUAAACUGAAGCAUCUAAGGUAUCUUGAUC
This 337-nucleotide unclassified non-coding RNA is filed under the name Hevea brasiliensis (rubber tree). Lineage: Eukaryota; Viridiplantae; Streptophyta; Magnoliopsida; Malpighiales; Euphorbiaceae. The record is from RNAcentral.